UACGAAGGGGGCUAGCGUUGCUCGGAAUCACUGGGCGUAAAGGGUGCGUAGGCGGGUCUUUAAGUCAGGGGUGAAAUCCUGGAGCUCAACUCCAGAACUGCCUUUGAUACUGAAGAUCUUGAGUGCGGGAGAGGUGAGUGGAACUGCGAGUGUAGAGGUGAAAUUCGUAGAUAUUCGCAAGAACACCAGUGGCGAAGGCGGCUCACUGGCCCGAUACUGACGCUGAGGAGCGAAAGCCAGGGGAGCAAACGGG
RNAcentral lists this ribosomal RNA (253 nucleotides) under uncultured bacterium. Its description in RNAcentral is "partial 16S ribosomal RNA". It matches the Rfam family "Bacterial small subunit ribosomal RNA", at positions 524 to 776 of the family's 1533-position model. The record is from RNAcentral.